CGGGGAGUGGCGCAGUCUGGUAGCGCACUGGUCUGGGGGACCAGUGGUCGUCGGUUCAAAUCCGGCCUCCCCGACCA
This 77-nucleotide transfer RNA is filed under the name Chloroflexota bacterium. Its description in RNAcentral is "tRNA-Pro". It matches the Rfam family "tRNA". From Rfam's summary of the family: Transfer RNA (tRNA) molecules are approximately 80 nucleotides in length. The record is from RNAcentral. Lineage: Bacteria; Bacillati; Chloroflexota. RNAcentral also lists the same sequence under 1 other name.